GAUGAAGAACGCAGCAAAAUGCGAUAAGUAAUGUGAAUUGCAGAAUUCAGUGAAUCAUCGAAUCUUUGAACGCACAUUGCGCCCGCUGGUAUUCCGGCGGGCAUGCCUGUUCGAGCGUCAUUUCAACCCUCAAGCCCCCGGGUUUGGUGUUGGGGAUCAGCUCUGCCCUUCUGGGCGGUGCCGCCCCCGAAAUACAUUGGCGGUCUCGCUGCAGCCUCCAUUGCGUAGUAGCUAACACCUCGCAACUGGAACGCGGCGCGGCCAUGCCGUAAAACCCCAACUUCUGAAUGUUGACCUCGGAUCAGGUAGGAAUACCCGCUGAACUUAAGCAUAUCAAUAAGCGGAGGA
This 348-nucleotide unclassified non-coding RNA is filed under the name soil metagenome. RNAcentral describes it as "partial contains 5.8S ribosomal RNA, internal transcribed spacer 2, and large subunit ribosomal RNA". The stretch from base 1 to 120 matches the Rfam family "5.8S ribosomal RNA", at positions 35 to 154 of the family's 154-position model. The record is from RNAcentral.